RNAcentral lists this transfer RNA (72 nucleotides) under Ictidomys tridecemlineatus (thirteen-lined ground squirrel). RNAcentral's name for it is "Spermophilus tridecemlineatus (thirteen-lined ground squirrel) tRNA". It matches the Rfam family "tRNA". From Rfam's summary of the family: Transfer RNA (tRNA) molecules are approximately 80 nucleotides in length. The record is from Rfam by way of RNAcentral. Lineage: Eukaryota; Metazoa; Chordata; Mammalia; Rodentia; Sciuridae.
UGGGGUGUGGCUCAGUGGUGGAGCGCUUACCUGGUAUGUAUAAGGCACUGGGUUCGACCCUCAGCACCACAU